AUGCUGAUUUUCAUGAAAACCCUCACUCUCAAGGUUGAACCCUCUGAUACGAUAGAAAAUAUACUAGUAAAAGCCAAGAUCCAGGAUAAGGAAGGAAUUCCUCCUGAUCAGCAAAGACUGAUCUUUGCUGGCAAGCAAUUGGAAGACGGACAUACUUUGUCUGACUACAACAUUCAAAAGGAGUCCACUCUUCAUCUUGUGUUGAGACUUCAUGGUGGUGCUAAGAAAAGAUAGAAGCAGUCUUACACCGCUCCCAAGAAGAAUAAGCAUAAGAGAAAGAAGGUGAAGCUGGCUGUCCUGAAAUACCACAAAGUGGAUGAGAAUGGCAAAAUCAGUCGCCUUCUUCGGGAGUGCCCUCAGAUGAAUGUGGUGCUGGAGUGUUUAUGGCCAGCCACCUUGACAGACAUUAUUGUGGCAAAUGUUUCAACAAACCAGAAGACAAGUAAUUGUAUUUGGGUUAGUAAAAGACAUGAACUAA
This is an RNA transcript of Myotis lucifugus (little brown bat), 478 nucleotides long. It is a transcript of the gene named ubiquitin-40S ribosomal protein S27a pseudogene, with no coding region annotated. The record is from RefSeq and is a predicted model, not a curated record. The transcript has a single exon. NCBI's taxonomy places the organism in Eukaryota, Metazoa, Chordata, Mammalia, Chiroptera, Vespertilionidae.